RNAcentral lists this long non-coding RNA (356 nucleotides) under Selaginella moellendorffii. RNAcentral describes it as "long non-coding RNA (SMOE_LNC000985)". Lineage: Eukaryota; Viridiplantae; Streptophyta; Lycopodiopsida; Selaginellales; Selaginellaceae. The record is from RNAcentral.
GUCCCCUGAGACGCACUGGCUUAUUCCGUGGAGUCAUGCCGUGUGCUUAUGGAGUCGCAGCGUGAUGAUCUUUCCCUCCUGAACGAAUGAAAAGAAGAGCGUUUGCACAGAAAAGAGUGGAAAGUCUAUACUGUAGCACCUGAUGCCUUGGGAGUGGCCUUCGGAGUUGGGCUUGGAGCGGGGCUGGUCUUUGGAGGAGAUGUGCUUGGAGCGGGGGUGGUCUUUGGAGGAGAUGGGCUUGGAGCGGGGCUGGUCUUUGGAGAUGGGCUUGGUGUUGGGCUUGAACUGGGACUUUCCGUGCAUCCUGUUAACAGCAAAACUCUAUCAAGUUCAUGGUUCAAGUUUGCCCAGACAAA